RNAcentral lists this long non-coding RNA (317 nucleotides) under Ananas comosus (pineapple). RNAcentral describes it as "long non-coding RNA (ACOM_LNC000570)". Lineage: Eukaryota; Viridiplantae; Streptophyta; Magnoliopsida; Poales; Bromeliaceae. The record is from RNAcentral.
CUCCCCUGUCCGCCCAAGGCUCAACAACAAGUAUCAAUAGAGUAACAAUUUGCAUAAGCGGAAGCAUACACAAUGGCUUGCACGAGGGCAAGCAAUAGCCAAAGUGAAAGAAUUAAUAAUUCAACAUACAAGUAAUAUGACUAAAUUUAAAUCACAUACAUGCAUCCAACUAUAAUCAAUUUCUUUCACAUUUUUGCAUCAUUUCUUUUUACAUCUCAUUUCUCCCAAAAUAUAACUUUUGACAUUUAAAAUAAAUAUCCUUUACAUCAUUCAUUUAAAUAUGUUCAUAAUACUAAAAUCAUCAAAUACAAAAGAUG